RNAcentral lists this unclassified non-coding RNA (484 nucleotides) under uncultured fungus. RNAcentral describes it as "partial contains 5.8S ribosomal RNA and internal transcribed spacer 2". The stretch from base 1 to 133 matches the Rfam family "5.8S ribosomal RNA", at positions 22 to 154 of the family's 154-position model. The record is from RNAcentral. Lineage: Eukaryota; Fungi.
UGGCUCUCGCAUCGAUGAAGAACGCAGCGAAAUGCGAUACGUAAUGUGAAUUGCAGAAUUCAGUGAAUCAUCGAAUCUUUGAACGCAUAUUGCGCCUUCUGGUAUUCCGGAAGGCAUGCUUGUUUGAGUAUCAGUAAUAACCCCUCAGCUUUUAGUUGUUGUGUUACCCCCCCUUCUUCUUGCAAAAGGAGAAAUGGGGGGUGACCAAAAAGCUGGAUUUGAGCAACUUAACUUCCCUCAAUCAAUCAAUCUUGAUACGGGGGAUGCUCGAAAUACAUGGUUCGGCCAAGACAGUUGUGGGCUACAAGCAUUUCAUACUUGAUCCCGUCAAACGGAUUAUAACCCUUUGCUGCAGCCUAUUUUGCAACUUGAUCGCGUGCUCGACUGAUGCAGGAAGUUUUUGGGGUGUGUUCAGACUCGCGUCUGGAACGCACAACACAAAACAUUGAACCUCGAUCUCAAAUCAAGUAAGACUACCCGCUGA